This 870-nucleotide ribosomal RNA is filed under the name uncultured bacterium. RNAcentral describes it as "bacterial SSU rRNA". It matches the Rfam family "Bacterial small subunit ribosomal RNA", at positions 31 to 895 of the family's 1533-position model. The record is from RNAcentral.
GAACGCUAGCGAUAGGCUUAACCACAUGCAAGUCGAGGGGCAGCACGGGAUAGCUUGCUAUCUGGGUGGCGACCGGCGCACGGGUGCGUAACGCGUAUGCAACUUGCCCUAUACAGGAGGAUAACCCGUCGAAAGACGGACUAAUACUGCGUAUGCUCACAACUUGGCAUCAAGUAGUGAGGAAAGAAAUUCGGUAUAGGAUAGGCAUGCGUCCCAUUAGCUUGUUGGUGAGGUAACGGCUCACCAAGGCCACGAUGGGUAGGGGAACUGAGAGGUUUAUCCCCCACACUGGUACUGAGACACGGGCCAGACUCCUACGGGAGGCAGCAGUGAGGAAUAUUGGUCAAUGGGCGAGAGCCUGAACUAGCCAAGUCGCGUGAAGGAUGACUGUCUUAUGGAUUGUAAACUUCUUUUAUACGGGAAUAACAAGAGUCACGUGUGACUCCCUGCAUGUACCGUAUGAAUAAGCAUCGGCUAACUCCGUGCCAGCAGCCGCGGUAAUACGGAGGAUGCGAGCGUUAUCCGGAUUUAUUGGGUUUAAAGGGUGCGUAGGCGGUUUGUUAAGUCAGCGGUGAAAUCUAGAGGCUCAACCUCGAAACUGCCGUUGAAACUGGCGAACUUGAGUGUAGAUGAGGUAGGCGGAAUUCGUGGUGUAGCGGUGAAAUGCAUAGAUAUCACGAGGAACUCCGAUUGCGAAGGCAGCUUACUAAGGUACAACUGACGCUGAAGCACGAAAGCGUGGGUAUCAAACAGGAUUAGAUACCCUGGUAGUCCACGCAGUAAACGAUGAUAACUGGGCGUAUGCGAUAUACAGUAUGCUCCUAAGCGAAAGCGUUAAGUUAUCCACCUGGGGAGUACGCCGGCAACGGG